GACGAACGCUGGCGGCGUGCUUAACACAUGCAAGUUGAACGAGAAGAUUUUUUUAGAAUUCUUCGGAAGGAAGAAAAGAUUGGAAAGUAGCGAACGGGUGAGUAACACGUGAGAAACCUGCCUUUCACAAAGGGAUAGCUUCGGGAAACCGGAAUUAAUACCUUAUGACACAUAGAUAUCGCAUGAUAAUUAUGUUAAAGAAUUUCGGUGAAAGAUGGUCUCGCGUCUGAUUAGCUAGUUGGUAAGGUAAAGGCUUACCAAGGCGAUGAUCAGUAGCCGGAUUGAGAGGUUGAACGGCCACACUGGAACUGAGACACGGUCCAGACUCCUACGGGAGGCAGCAGUGGGGAAUUUUGCACAAUGGGGGGAACCCUGAUGCAGCGACGCCGCGUGAAUGAUGAAGGCCUUAGGGUUGUAAAGUUCUGUCCUUGGUGAAGAUAAUGACUGUAGCCAAGAAGCAAGCCCUGGCUAAAUACGUGCCAGCAGCCGCGGUAAUACGUAUGGGGCAAGCGUUGUCCGGAAUUAUUGGGCGUAAAGGGUACGUAGGCGGUUAAUUAAGUCCUAAUUAAAAGGCAUUGGCUCAACCAAUGUAAGGUUAGGAUACUGAUUAACUUGAGUAGAUGAGAGGAAAGUGGAAUUCCAUGUGUAGCGGUGAAAUGCGUAGAUAUAUGGAGGAACACCUGAGGCGAAGGCGACUUUCUGGAAUCUAACUGACGCUGAGGUACGAAGGCGUGGGGAGCAAACAGG
This 747-nucleotide ribosomal RNA is filed under the name uncultured bacterium. Its description in RNAcentral is "bacterial SSU rRNA". It matches the Rfam family "Bacterial small subunit ribosomal RNA", at positions 28 to 776 of the family's 1533-position model. The record is from RNAcentral.